ACGGGUGAGUAACGCGUAGAUAACGUGCCCUCUUGCGGGGGAUACCAGUUCGAAAGGACUGUUAAUACCGCAUAACAUCUCCGAAGGGCAUCCUUUGGAGAGCAAACUGAUUCAGGGCGAGAGGAGCGGUCUGCGUACUAUUAGGUAGUUGGUGAGGCAAUGGCUCACCAAGCCUACGACGGUUAACUGGUCUGAGAGGAUGAUCAGUCACACUGGAACUGAGACACGGUCCAGACUCCUACGGGAGGCAGCAGUGAGGAAUAUUGCGCAAUGGGCGAAAGCCUGACGCAGCGACGCCGCGUGGAGGAUGAAGGCCCUCGGGUUGUAAACUCCUGUCAGUUGGGAAGAGAAUGGACGGUACCAACUGAGGAAGCUUCGGCUAACUACGUGCCAGCAGCCGCGGUAAGACGUAGGGAGCAAGCGUUGUCCGGAAUUACUGGGCGUAAAGAGCUCGUAGGCGGGAUCGUAAGUCUUAAAGGAAAUCUCAUGGCUCAACUGUGGGGCUUUUUGAGAUACUGCGAUUCUUGAGGAUGUCAGAGGAAAGUGGAAUUCCCGGU
This 557-nucleotide ribosomal RNA is filed under the name uncultured bacterium. Its description in RNAcentral is "bacterial SSU rRNA". It matches the Rfam family "Bacterial small subunit ribosomal RNA", at positions 102 to 674 of the family's 1533-position model. The record is from RNAcentral.